RNAcentral lists this RNase P RNA (333 nucleotides) under Spirochaetales bacterium. RNAcentral's name for it is "RNase P RNA component class A". It matches the Rfam family "Bacterial RNase P class A". From Rfam's summary of the family: Ribonuclease P (RNase P) is a ubiquitous endoribonuclease, found in archaea, bacteria and eukarya as well as chloroplasts and mitochondria. Lineage: Bacteria; Pseudomonadati; Spirochaetota; Spirochaetia; Spirochaetales. The record is from RNAcentral. RNAcentral also lists the same sequence under 1 other name.
GAGGUUCGACAAGUAAUCGCUGGUGCGAAAGCAUCAGAGGAAAGUCCGAGCUCCAUAGGACAAAGUGCCGGGUAACACCCGGGAGUCGUAAGGCUACAGAGAGUGCAACAGAAAGUAUACCGCUGCAUUGCAGUAAGGGUGAAAAGGCGAGGUAAGAGCUCACCGGCAUACUUGGCAACAGGGUGCGCAUUGAAAACCUCACUUGGAGCAAGGUCAAAAAGCAGGUAAGUGGUCCGCUUCAUACCUGCGGGUAGACUGCUGGAACCUGAUGGUGACAUCAGGUCUAGAUAGAUGAUUACAUAAACAGAACUCGGCUUACGGCGAACCUCUGUU